This 500-nucleotide ribosomal RNA is filed under the name uncultured bacterium. Its description in RNAcentral is "bacterial SSU rRNA". It matches the Rfam family "Bacterial small subunit ribosomal RNA", at positions 9 to 507 of the family's 1533-position model. The record is from RNAcentral.
UAGUUUUGAUCCUGGCUCAAGGAUAAACGCUGGCGGCGCACAUAAGACAUGCAAGUCGAACGAACUUUAAUUCGAAUGUUUUACAUUUUGGAAGCGGUUUAGUGCGGACUGGUGAGUAACACGUAAGCAACCUGCCUAUUAGAGGGGAAUAACAGUGAGAAAUCAUUUGCUAAUACCGCAUAUGCCAUUAGAUACCACAUGGUAUCAUGGGAAAGGAGCAAUCCGCUAAUAGAUGGGCUUGCGUCUGAUUAGAUAGUUUGGUGGGGGUAAAGGCCUACCAAGUCGACGAUCAGUAGCCGAACUGAGAGGUUGAACGGCCACAUUGGGACUGAGAUACGGCCCAGACUCCUACGGGAGGCAGCAGUCGGGAAUAUUGCACAAUGGAGGAAACUCUGAUGCAGUGACGCCGCGUGCAGGGAGAAGGUUUUCGGAUUGUAAACUGCUUUAGACGGGGAAGAAGCAAGACAGUACCUGUAGAAUAAGCUCCGGCUAACUACGUG